GGGCAGUUAGCUCAGGGGGAGAGCGCUUCCUUGACACGGAAGAGGUCGGAGGUUCGAUUCCUCUACUGCCCACCA
Molecule: transfer RNA, 75 nt
Filed under: Paenactinomyces guangxiensis
Lineage: Bacteria; Bacillati; Bacillota; Bacilli; Caryophanales; Thermoactinomycetaceae
Description: tRNA-Val
Rfam family: tRNA
About the family: Transfer RNA (tRNA) molecules are approximately 80 nucleotides in length.
Source: RNAcentral